AGGAUGAACGCUGGCGGCGUGCCUAAUACAUGCAAGUCGAGCGGUAAGGCCACUUCGGUGGUACACGAGCGGCGGACGGCUGAGUAACACGUAGGAACGUACCCCAAACUGAGGCAUAAGCACCAGAAAUGGUGUCUAAUACCGCAUGUGCUCUUCGGAGUAAAGCUUCGGCGGUUUGGGAACGGCCUGCGCAUGAUUAGCUUGUUGGUGAGGUAAUAGCUCACCAAGGCGACGAUCAUUAGCUGGUCUGAGAGGAUGACCAGCCAGACUGGGACUGAGAACGGCCCAGACUCCUACGGGAGGCAGCAGUAGGGAAUUUUCCACAAUGGGCGAAAGCCUGAUGGAGCAACGCCGCGUGCAGGAUGAAUGCCUUCGGGUUGUAAACUGCUUUUAUCUGUGAAGAUUAUGACGGUAGCAGAUGAAGUAAGGAUCGGCUAACUCCGUGCCAGCACGCCGC
Molecule: ribosomal RNA, 457 nt
Filed under: uncultured bacterium
Lineage: Bacteria
Description: SSU rRNA
Rfam family: Bacterial small subunit ribosomal RNA
Source: RNAcentral